Molecule: ribosomal RNA, 254 nt
Filed under: uncultured bacterium
Lineage: Bacteria
Description: partial small subunit ribosomal RNA
Rfam family: Bacterial small subunit ribosomal RNA
Source: RNAcentral
AGGACGAACGCUGGCGGCGUGCUUAACACAUGCAAGUCGAGCGGAAAGGCCCUUCGGGGUACUCGAGCGGCGAACGGGUGAGUAACACGUGAGUAAUCUGCCCCUAGCUCUGGGAUAGCUCCGGGAAAACCGGGAUUAAUACCGGAUACGACUGCUACGGACAUCUGUGGUGGUGGAAAGAACUUCGGCUAGGGAUGAGCUCGCGGCCUAUCAGCUUGUUGGUGGGGUAACGCCUACCAAGGCGACGACGGGUA